UACGAAGGGGGCUAGCGUUGCUCGGAAUCACUGGGCGUAAAGCGCACGUAGGCGGCUUCUUAAGUCAGGGGGGAAAUCCUGGAGCUCAACUCCAGAACUGCCUUUGAUACUGAGGAGCUCGAGUCCGGAAGAGGUGAGUGGAACUGCGAGUGUAGAGGUGAAAUUCGUAGAUAUUCGCAAGAACACCAGUGGCGAAGGCGGCUCACUGGUCCGGUACUGACGCUGAGGUGCGAAAGCGUGGGGAGCAAACAGG
This 253-nucleotide ribosomal RNA is filed under the name uncultured bacterium. Its description in RNAcentral is "partial 16S ribosomal RNA". It matches the Rfam family "Bacterial small subunit ribosomal RNA", at positions 524 to 776 of the family's 1533-position model. The record is from RNAcentral.